Oncorhynchus kisutch (coho salmon) is the source of this 2303-nucleotide long non-coding RNA. RefSeq lists it as uncharacterized. Lineage: Eukaryota; Metazoa; Chordata; Actinopteri; Salmoniformes; Salmonidae. The record is from RefSeq and is a predicted model, not a curated record. The transcript is spliced from 2 exons.
UGGAAGAAACUUUAAAAGUUCUUGGAAUGUUCUUUAUUGACUGACCUUCAUGUCUUAAAGUAAUGAUGGACUGUAAUUUCUCUUUGCUUAUUUGAGCAAUUCUUGCCAUUUAUAUGGAUUGGUCUUUUACCAAGUAGCGCUAUCUUCUGUAUACCACCUCUACCUUGUCACAACACAACUGAUUGGCUCAGACGCAUUAAGAAAUAAAUCAAUUCCACAAAUGAACUUUUAACCAAAGCUGUCAUUAAGGCAAAUGGUGGUUAUUUGAAGAAUUGGAAAUAUAUCAAAUAUAUUUUGAUUUGGUGUAACACUUUUUGGUUGCUACAUGAUUCCAUAGUUUUGAUGUGGUACGACACUCCAUACAGUAUGGGACUAGGUCACACUUAGCCUAUUCUACCACUGUGUAAAUGGAUAGAAUGUAAUAUUGACCAUGUGAGCCGCCCCUAAAGCAAAUAAAUGCUUGUGGUACGACUGAAAUCUUGACAUUCUUGAGUUAAAAAAUAACAUGUUGCCCCACUUUUUUUUUCUUCUUUUUUUUGUCCUUGAAGCGAGUGUUUUGAUUUUGGUUCAAUUUAAACUUAUUGAAAUUAACUGUACUGAAAUUGAAGCAAACUUUGCAAAGGUAGAAACCAAUGGAGGCUGCUGAGGGGAGGACGGCUCAAUAAUGGCCGGGAAUGGAGUGAAUGUUAUCAAACACAUUCAUGUGUUUUGAUUCCAUUCACUGCAUUCUAACCAUUAUCGUCCUCCCCUCAGCAGCCUCCAUUGGUGGAAGCACCCACUAUAAGGCCUAUUGUAUAAAUCACAGAGGUUUCUAUCUUCAUGGGAUUUAAGUUGCGGAUGAUUUGUGUGUUUCCUAGUACUCCUCCCACAAAGUUGUUGAAUGAAAGAAGGUUGAGAUAUAAGAAUAUAUACUUUAAUGCUAGGUAGGUUUGCAGUUUGCAUGAGUAAGAAUACCAAUGUAGAAAGUUAAUCAUACAUUGAGAAGUUAUACACCAUCUUGGUACUGUCUAUGAUGUCAAAUGUCUUGUGACAUUAAGAUGAAAUGCUUGACCUAUAUUUUCAUUCAUAGAUCUUUGUUAGGUAGAACUGGUUGUUGCAUACCUUGUAUGAAAAAUCUGCCAUUACUUUCUCCUACUCAUAACACAAAAUGGUUGGUGUGCAUUUGCAAAUUAAACUUUGUGUUAGUUGGGAUGUUAAGCUGAGAGCAAAAUUACCAAAAACAGAGCACCUCUUUGUCGGUCACUGUGAAAAAAAAAAUUUGUUUCCAGUUGCACAUAGUGUUUGCCUUUCGGGUCUGAUCUUGCUUCAGUGGCCCCUACUGGUAUAAGGUAACUCUUUCUCAGUCAUGACACAGUGUCUUCAGAAAGCAAUCAUACCUCUUGACUUUUACACAUGUUGUGUUACAGCCUCAAUUCAAAAUGUAUUAAAUAUAUAUUUCUCACCCAUCUACAGACAAUACCUCAUAAAUGACAAAGUGAAAACAUGUUUUAGAAUGUUUUUGCAAAUGUAUUGAAAAUGAAAUACAGAAAUACAUAAUUUACGUAAGUAUUCAUACCCCCUUAGUCAAUACAUGUUAGAAUCACUUUGCAGCGAUUACAGCUGUCUUUCUAGGUAAGUCUAAGUGCUUUGCACACCAGGAUUGAACAUUUAUCUGUACUUUUGUUUUUAAUUCUUCAAGCUCUGUCAAGUUGGUUGUUGCUAGAUAGCCAUUUUCAAGUCUUGUCAUAGAUCUUCAAGCCAAUUUUAAGUCAACUGUAACUAGGCCACUCAGGAAUAUUCAAUGUUGUCUUUGGCCUUGUUUUUUAGGUUAUUGUUCUGCUGAAAGGUGAAUGAGUCUCCCAGUGUCUGUUAGAAAGCAGACUGAACCAAGUUUUCCUCUAGGAUUUUGCCAUUGCUUAGCUUUUUUUUUUUUUUAUCCCCAAAAACUCCCUAGGCCUUGCCGAUGACAAGCAGACCCAUAACAUGAUGCAGCCACGGCCAUGCUUGAAUAUAUGAAGAGUGGUACUCUGUGAUGUGCUGUUUGAUUUGCCCCAAAUAUAAUGCUUUGUAUUCAGGACAUAAAGUUGAUUUCUUUGCCAAAGUUCUUGCAGUUUUUAUUCAGUGCCUUAUUGCAAACAGGAUGCAUAUUCUGGAAUAUUUUAUUCUGUACAGGCUUUCUUUUAACUCUGUCAUUUAGGUUAGUAUUAUGGAGUAACUACAAUGUUGUUGAUCCAUCCUCAGUUUUCUAUCGCAGCCGUUUAAACCGUUUUAAAUACUCCAUUGAUAAACCAAUGUAAUUAAUAAUUUCACCAUGCUCAAAGGAA